Molecule: ribosomal RNA, 1528 nt
Filed under: uncultured Bordetella sp.
Lineage: Bacteria; Pseudomonadati; Pseudomonadota; Betaproteobacteria; Burkholderiales; Alcaligenaceae
Description: partial 16S-23S ribosomal RNA intergenic spacer
Rfam family: Bacterial small subunit ribosomal RNA
Source: RNAcentral
GGUUCGAUCCUGGCUCAGAUUGAACGCUGGCGGGAUGCUUUACACAUGCAAGUCGAACGGCAGCACGGACUUCGGUCUGGUGGCGAGUGGCGAACGGGUGAGUAAUGUAUCGGAACGUGCCUAGUAGCGGGGGAUAACUACGCGAAAGCGUAGCUAAUACCGCAUACGCCCUUCGGGGGAAAGCGGGGACCUUCGGGCCUCGCACUCAUUAGAGCGGCCGAUAUCGGAUUAGCUAGUUGGUGGGGUAACGGCUCACCAAGGGCGACGAUCCGUAGCUGGUUUGAGAGGACGACCAGCCACACCGGGACUGGAGACACGGCCCAGACUCCUACGGGAGGCAGCAGUGGGGAAUUUUGGACAAUGGGGGAAACCCUGAUCCAGCCAUCCCGCGUGUGCGAUGAAGGCCUUCGGGUUGUAAAGCACUUUUGGCAGGGAAAGAAACGGCACGGGAUAAUACCCCGUGCAACUGACGGUACCUGCAGAAUAAGCACCGGCUAACUACGCCAGCAGCCGCGGUAAUACGUAGGUGCAAGCGUUAAUCGGAAUUACUGGGCGUAAAGCGUGCGCAGGCGGUUCGGAAAGAAAGAUGUGAAAUCCCAGAGCUUAACUUUGGAACUGCAUUUUUAACUACCGAGCUAGGAGUGUGUCAGAGGGAGGUGGAAUUCCGCGUGUAGCAGUGAAAUGCGUAGAUAUGCGGAGGAACACCGAUGGCGAAGGCAGCCUCCUGGGAUAACACUGACGCUCAUGCACGAAAGCGUGGGGAGCAAACAGGAUUAGACUUCUGGUAGUCCACGCCCUAAACGAUGUCAACUAGCUGUUGGGGCCUCGCCUUGCAGCGCAGCUAACGCGUGAAGCGACCGCCUGGGGAGUACGUCGUGCAGAUUAAACUCAAAAGGAAUUGACGGACUCGCACAAGCGGUGGAUGAUGUGGAUUAAUUCGAUGCAACGCGAAAACCUUUACCUUACCCCGACAGAUGUCUGGAAUCCCGAAGAGAUUUGGGAGUGCUCGCAAGAGAACCGGAACACAGGUGUCGCAUGGCUGUCGCUCAGGUCGUGAGAUGUUGCUGUCUCCGCAACGAGCGCAACCCCUUGUCAUUAGUUACACAUAAGCACACCGACGAGACUGCCGGUGACAAACCGGAGGAAGGUGGGGCGAUGACGUCAAGUCCUUUAUUCUUAUGGGUAGGGCUUGCCACGUCAUACAAUGGUCGGGAGCAGAGGGCUGCCAACCCGCGAGGGGAGCCAAUCCCAGAAACCCGAUCAGUCCGGAUCGCAGUCUGCAACUCUUGACUGCGUGGUUUGAAUCAUAGUAAUCGCGGAUCAGCAUACCGUGAAUACGUUCCCGUGGGCUUCGGUACACACCGCCUGUCACACCAUGGGAGUGGGUUUACCAGAAUAGUUAGUCGCCAACUGUAAGGGAGGGCGAUUACUACUUGCAGGAUUCAUGACUAAAGUGGGGCGUCAGGCACGAAACCCGUAAGGAAUUGGAUGCUCCCAGGAGCAGCCACAUGUAACCAACCAGUUGGUC